AUCCAACCGACGAAUUCCAGAUAAAACGAAACGCACGUCCUGGAU
Molecule: non-coding RNA, 45 nt
Organism: Schistosoma mattheei
Lineage: Eukaryota; Metazoa; Platyhelminthes; Trematoda; Strigeidida; Schistosomatidae
Source: Rfam